GAUGAACGCUGGCGGCGUGCUUAACACAUGCAAGUCGAACGGAAAGGCCCUGCUCUUGCGGGGUGCUCGUGUGGCGAACGGGUGAGUAUCACGCGUGUAUCCCGCCCUUGACUUUGGGAUAACUUUAGGAAAAUGGGGCUAUUACCGGAUAGGAGCUCCUGAUGCAUGGUGGGGGUUGGAAAGUUUCGGCGGUUGGGGAUGGACUCGCGGCUUCUCAGCUUGUUGGUGGGGUAGUGGCUUACCAAGGCUUCGACGGAUAGCCGGCCUGGGAGGGUGGCCGGCCACAUGAGUACUAAGGGACGCACCAGACGCGAACGGUACGCAGCGGUGGAGAGUAUUACGGAGUGAGCGGGAGCCAGUGACGACGGCGCCGCGAUCGUGAAAACGGCCUACGGGUGAAGAACCGCUGUCGCCUGAGACGUGGCGUGAGUGACGGUAAUGAAUAAGGAAGCACCGGCUAACUACGUG
Molecule: ribosomal RNA, 468 nt
Filed under: uncultured bacterium
Lineage: Bacteria
Description: partial 16S ribosomal RNA
Rfam family: Bacterial small subunit ribosomal RNA
Source: RNAcentral